Molecule: long non-coding RNA, 1260 nt
Organism: Daucus carota subsp. sativus
Lineage: Eukaryota; Viridiplantae; Streptophyta; Magnoliopsida; Apiales; Apiaceae
Exons: 3
Source: RefSeq, a predicted model, not a curated record
UAAGCUGUUAUCCAGCUGGCUCUAUCAUAGUUAACAUCCCUUUCACGUUAGGAGAGGGAAAGAAAUUAGAAACUCCUAAAUUGAAAAGAAAAUAACUAAACUGAGUUGAAGGCAGAGACUCAAUGGAAGCUGUUCUAACAAAUGGAAUUGACUGUGCUGCAUUGGUAUAGGAAUCCUUCCAUUGAAACUUCCGAAAAGAUGAAGGAUAUACGUAUAUACAUACGAAUACGUACUGAAAUACUCUAUCAAAUGAUUAAUGACGACCUGAAUCGGACUUUGUAACAAGUCUGCAGGUUGCUCAUAGUAGAUAGAUGAGUACUAAUGGAAAUCAUGUCUCCCAUCAGCUUAUACCUUACCAGAUAGCAGUCAAUUUCAAUACUAUGUUUCUGCAGAAACCUAUGAUAGGUUGCAGGUUGUCCUGCGAAGAGAAAGUUCUGCAUCUAAGAAUAUAAAAGUGGCUAUGUACUUGAACUUGGUGAAACAGAAGAUAUAUGUAAUUUUCCAAACUGAUGGAGAAACCUACAAGAAAUGAAAUUAGAGCAUGCUCGUGCCUACCACGGCCGGACCACGGGCUACAAAACUAGUUACAAUUAAGUGUGGAAAUACCUUGCAUCACUGAUCAACGAAUGAAGUCAAGUUGAAACCCACUAACAAGUGAUUGGCAGGUUGUUAGUUUAAACAAGUUGUAGCAAUUACAACUCAUGAGACGGCAAUCAAGCUUCCACUUGAAUCCUAAUUUUCGAGGGGUUACAUGUACAUAGACCUUACCUUCACUCGUAAAAGAUGAGUACAUGUUUCACUAAAGAUUUUGGAUUUAGACAGGCUCUUUAUUACUGAUUUCAAGCUUCUAUUGAAUAAUGAUCUGUUUGGAAAAUAUUUUCAAAAGUUAAUAUUGUUGGUCUAGAUAUAUUAUGGUGAUUCUUUUGUAAUGCGGACUAUACUGUGGAGUGUUGUUUUGUUCUAGUAUAUGUACUGGAUUUUUUUUUUUCUUACUAGCAGCUACUUAAUGAAAAUUAUCGAAAAACCACGUUUUCAGUUAUGUGGCUAAAGGAUCAACAGAUGGUACAUUUCAGCCUGCUGAAGGCCAACCAUACAGCUCUUCUGGAAUUUAUUGUUCCUCCGAUUUACCCUUCCAUUGGUGGCACUGAUGCAUAUCCCGGGUCUGGUGCAGGAACGUAUCCUCCCAGGGGUGAUUUUGGCAGUGGAGGAGGAAGCAUUAUGAGUCUGUAGACCUCUAUCUUUUAUUUUUUUUGAUUAAUG